RNAcentral lists this unclassified non-coding RNA (22 nucleotides) under Chlamydomonas reinhardtii. RNAcentral's name for it is "small RNA Cre_3437". The record is from RNAcentral. Lineage: Eukaryota; Viridiplantae; Chlorophyta; Chlorophyceae; Chlamydomonadales; Chlamydomonadaceae.
UGGUCCACUCUUGCGUGCGUGG